Molecule: ribosomal RNA, 253 nt
Filed under: uncultured bacterium
Lineage: Bacteria
Description: partial 16S ribosomal RNA
Rfam family: Bacterial small subunit ribosomal RNA
Source: RNAcentral
GACGUAGGGCGCGAGCGUUGUCCGGAUUUAUUGGGCGUAAAGAGCUCGUAGGCGGCUUGUCGCGUCGACCGUGAAAACCCGGGGCUCAACUCCGGGCUUGCGGGCGAUACGGGCAGGCUAGAGUUCGGUAGGGGAGACUGGAAUUCCUGGUGUAGCGGUGAAAUGCGCAGAUAUCAGGAGGAACACCGGUGGCGAAGGCGGGUCUCUGGGCAGUAACUGACGCUGAGGAGCGAAAGCGUGGGGAGCGAACAGG